UGGUCAAGCUGUAAAGGGCGCAAGGGGAAUGCCUUGGCACUGAGAGCCGACGAAGGACGCGACAAGCUGCGAUAAGCUACGGGGAGCCGCAAAUGGGCUUUGAUCCGUGGAUUUCCGAAUGGGGAAACCCGAUGGAGCAAUACUCCAUCAACCAUGACUGAAUACAUAGGUCAUGGUGGGGAACCGCCUGAACUGAAACAUCUAAGUAGGGCGAGGAAGAGAAAUCAA
This 228-nucleotide ribosomal RNA is filed under the name Butyricicoccus sp. TM10-16AC. RNAcentral describes it as "partial 23S ribosomal RNA". It matches the Rfam family "Bacterial large subunit ribosomal RNA", at positions 1 to 228 of the family's 2925-position model. Lineage: Bacteria; Bacillati; Bacillota; Clostridia; Eubacteriales; Butyricicoccaceae. The record is from RNAcentral.